UCGGGAAUAUUGCGCAAUGGAGGAAACUCUGACGCAGUGACGCCGCGUAUAGGAAGAAGAUUUUAGGAUUGUAAACUAUUGUUGGUAGGGAAGAAAAAAGACGGUACCUACAAAGAAAGCUCCGGCUAACUAUGUGCCAGCAGCCGCGGUAAUACAUAGGGAGCAAGCGUUAUCCGGAAUUAUUGGGUGUAAAGGGUGCGUAGACGGGAAAACAAGUUGGUUGUGAAAUCCCUCGGCUUAACCGAGGAACUGCAACUAAAACUGUGUUUCUUGAGUGCAGGAGAGGAAAGUGGAAUUUCUAGUGUAGCGGUGAAAUGCGUAGAUAUUAGGAGGAACACCAGUGGCGAAGGCGACUUUCUGGACUGUAACUGACGUUGAGGCACGAAAGUGUGGGGAGCAAACA
RNAcentral lists this ribosomal RNA (403 nucleotides) under uncultured Bacillota bacterium. RNAcentral describes it as "uncultured Firmicutes bacterium partial 16S ribosomal RNA". It matches the Rfam family "Bacterial small subunit ribosomal RNA", at positions 355 to 774 of the family's 1533-position model. The record is from RNAcentral. Lineage: Bacteria; Bacillati; Bacillota.